RNAcentral lists this transfer RNA (77 nucleotides) under Ferriphaselus amnicola. RNAcentral's name for it is "tRNA-Val". The record is from RNAcentral. Lineage: Bacteria; Pseudomonadati; Pseudomonadota; Betaproteobacteria; Nitrosomonadales; Gallionellaceae.
UUUCAAUUAGAUAGCGUACAACUAACGCUGCCUUCACACGGCAGGGGUCACUGGUUCGAACCCAGUAUCGCCCACCA